AGCGAACGCUGGCGGCAGGCCUAACACAUGCAAGUCGAACGAACCUUUCGGGGUUAGUGGCGGACGGGUGAGUAACACGUGGGAACGUGCCUUUAGGUUCGGAAUAACUCAGGGAAACUUGUGCUAAUACCGAAUGUGCCCUUCGGGGGAAAGAUUAAUCGCCUUUAGAGCGGCCCGCGUCUGAUUAGCUAGUUGGUUGAGGUAAUGGCUCACCAAGGCGACGAUCAGUAGCUGGUCUGAGAGGAUGAUCAGCCACAUUGGGGCUGAGACACGGCCCAAACUCCUACGGGAGGCAGCAGUGGGGAAUCUUGCGCAAUGGGCGAAAGCCUGACGCAGCCAUGCCGCGUGAAUUAUGAAGGUCUUAGGAUUGUAAAAUUCUUUCACCGGGGACGAUAAUGACGGUACCCGGAGAAGAAGCCCCGGCUAACUUCGUG
This 434-nucleotide ribosomal RNA is filed under the name uncultured bacterium. Its description in RNAcentral is "partial 16S ribosomal RNA". It matches the Rfam family "Bacterial small subunit ribosomal RNA", at positions 29 to 507 of the family's 1533-position model. The record is from RNAcentral.